GCGAUCAUGCUAGUACUAAUACACCCGAUCCCAUCAGAACUCCGAAGUUAGGCGUGCUUGGACGAGAGCAGUACUAGGAUGGGUGACCCCUUGGGAAGUCCUCGUGUUGCACCU
RNAcentral lists this ribosomal RNA (114 nucleotides) under Zingiber officinale. Lineage: Eukaryota; Viridiplantae; Streptophyta; Magnoliopsida; Zingiberales; Zingiberaceae. The record is from RNAcentral.